This 334-nucleotide ribosomal RNA is filed under the name uncultured Hydrogenophaga sp. RNAcentral's name for it is "bacterial SSU rRNA". It matches the Rfam family "Bacterial small subunit ribosomal RNA", at positions 1041 to 1382 of the family's 1533-position model. Lineage: Bacteria; Pseudomonadati; Pseudomonadota; Betaproteobacteria; Burkholderiales; Comamonadaceae. The record is from RNAcentral.
CUGCAUGGCUGUCGUCAGCUCGUGUCGUGAGAUGUUGGUUAAGUCCCGCAACGAGCGCAACCCUUGCCAUCAGUUGCUACGAAAGGGCACUCUGAUGGGACUGCCGGUGACAAACCGGAGGAAGGUGGGGAUGACGUCAAGUCCUCAUGGCCCUUAUAGGUGGGGCUACACACGUCAUACAAUGGCCGGUACAAAGGGCAGCAAACCCGCGAGGGGGAGCCAAUCCAUCAAAGCCGGUCGUAGUCCGGAUCGCAGUCUGCAACUCGACUGCGUGAAGUCGGAAUCGCUAGUAAUCGUGGAUCAGCAUGUCACGGUGAAUACGUUCCCGGGCCUU